CCCUUAGAUGUUCUGGGCCGCACGCGCGCUACACUGAUGCAUUCAACGAGCCUAGCCUUGACCGAGAGGUCCGGGUAAUCUUUGAAACUGCAUCGUGAUGGGGCUAGAUUAUUGCAAUUAUUAAUCUUCAACGAGGAAUGCCUAGUAAGCGUGAUUCAUCAAAUCGCGUUGAUUACGUCCCUGCCCUUUGUACACACCGCCCGUCGCUCCUACCGAUUGAGUGUGUUGGUGAGGAGUUUGGAUUGGCCUCGGAAGGUGGUUCGCCACCGUCCGUAGCUGAGAAGUUCUCCAAACCGCCCCACUUAGAGGAAGGAGAAGUCAUAACA
Molecule: ribosomal RNA, 326 nt
Filed under: uncultured eukaryote
Lineage: Eukaryota
Description: partial 18S ribosomal RNA
Rfam family: Eukaryotic small subunit ribosomal RNA
Source: RNAcentral